GAGAGUUUGAUUCUGGCUCAGGACGAACGCUGGCGGCGUGCCUAAUACAUGCAAGUCGAACGCUCUUUUCUUAUCGAACUUCGGUUCACCGAGAAAAGGGAGUGGCGAACGGGUGAGUAACACGUGGGUAACCUACCCAUCAGCGGGGGAUAACACUUGGAAACAGGUGCUAAUACCGCAUAAUUCUUUUCUUCGCCUGAAGGGAAGAUGAAAGACGCUUUUGCGUCACUGAUGGAUGGACCCGCGCUGCAUUAGCUAGUUGGUGGGGUAACGGCUCACCAAGGCCACGAUGCAUAGCCGACCUGAGAGGGUGAUCGGCCACACUGGGACUGAGACACGGCCCAGACUCCUACGGGAGGCAGCAGUAGGGAAUCUUCGGCAAUGGACGGAAGUCUGACCGAGCAACGCCGCGUGAGUGAAGAAGGUUUUCGGAUCGUAAAACUCUGUUGUUAGAGAAGAACAAGGAUGAGAGUAGAAUGUUCAUCCCUUGACGGUAUCUAACCAGAAAGCCACGGCUAACUAC
This 523-nucleotide ribosomal RNA is filed under the name swine manure pit bacterium PPC30A. RNAcentral describes it as "bacterial SSU rRNA". It matches the Rfam family "Bacterial small subunit ribosomal RNA", at positions 7 to 504 of the family's 1533-position model. The record is from RNAcentral.